UGGGGAAUCUUGCACAAUGGGGGCAACCCUGAUGCAGCGACGCCGCGUGAGCGAUGAAGCCCUUCGGGGUGUAAAGCUCUUUCGGCAGGAACGAUUAUGACGGUACCUGAAGAAGAAGCUGCGGCUAACUACGUGCCAGCAGCCGCGGUAAUACGUAGGCAGCGAGCGUUGUUCGGAGUUACUGGGCGUAAAGAGUGCGUAGGCGGUUUCGUAAGUCUGGUGUGAAAUCUCCCGGCUCAACUGGGAGGGUGCGCCGGAAACUGCGGAGCUGGAGUGUGGGAGAGGCAAGCGGAAUUCCUGGUGUAGCGGUGAAAUGCGUAGAUAUCAGGAGGAACACCUGCGGUGUAGACGGCUUGCUGGACCACUACUGACGCUGAGGCACGAAAGCGUGGGGAGCAAACAGG
Molecule: ribosomal RNA, 404 nt
Filed under: uncultured bacterium
Lineage: Bacteria
Description: bacterial SSU rRNA
Rfam family: Bacterial small subunit ribosomal RNA
Source: RNAcentral